CCUACGGGCGGCUGCAGUGAGGAAUAUUGGUCAAUGGACGAGAGUCUGAACCAGCCAAGUAGCGUGAAGGAUGACUGCCCUAUGGGUUGUAAACUUCUUUUAUAAAGGAAUAAAACGAGGUACGUGUCCCGUUUUGCAUGUACUUUAUGAAUAAGGAACGGCUAACUCCGUGCCAGCAGCCGCGGUAAUACGGAGGAUCCGAGCGUUAUCCGGAUUUAAUGGGUUUAAAGGGAGCGUAGAUGGGUUGUUAAGUCAGUUGUGAAAGUUGGGGGCUCAACCGGAAAAUUGCAAUUGAUACUGGCAGGCUUGAGUGCAGUUGAGGUAGGCGGAAUUCGUGGUGUAGCGGUGAAAUGCUUAGAUAUCACGAAGAACCCCGAUUGCGAAGGCAGCUUACUAGACUGUAACUGACAUUGAGGCUCGAAAGUGUGGGGAUCAAACAGGAUUAGAUACCCUGGUAGUC
RNAcentral lists this ribosomal RNA (460 nucleotides) under uncultured bacterium. Its description in RNAcentral is "partial 16S ribosomal RNA". It matches the Rfam family "Bacterial small subunit ribosomal RNA", at positions 338 to 795 of the family's 1533-position model. The record is from RNAcentral.